RNAcentral lists this ribosomal RNA (465 nucleotides) under uncultured Klebsiella sp. Its description in RNAcentral is "bacterial SSU rRNA". It matches the Rfam family "Bacterial small subunit ribosomal RNA", at positions 338 to 795 of the family's 1533-position model. Lineage: Bacteria; Pseudomonadati; Pseudomonadota; Gammaproteobacteria; Enterobacterales; Enterobacteriaceae. The record is from RNAcentral.
CCUACGGGCGGCUGCAGUGGGGAAUAUUGCACAAUGGGCGCAAGCCUGAUGCAGCCAUGCCGCGUGUGUGAAGAAGGCCUUCGGGUUGUAAAGCACUUUCAGCGGGGAGGAAGGCGUUAAGGUUAAUAACCUUGUCGAUUGACGUUACCCGCAGAAGAAGCACCGGCUAACUCCGUGCCAGCGGCCGCGGUAAUACGGAGGGUGCAAGCGUUAAUCGGAAUUACUGGGCGUAAAGCGCACGCAGGCGGUCUGUCAAGUCGGAUGUGAAAUCCCCGGGCUCAACCUGGAAACUGCAUUCGAAACUGGCAGGCUAGAGUCUUGUAGAGGGGGGUAGAAUUCCAGGUGUAGCGGUGAAAUGCGUAGAGAUCUGGAGGAAUACCGGUGGCGAAGGCGGCCCCCUGGACAAAGACUGACGCUCAGGUGCGAAAGCGUGGGGAGCAAACAGGAUUAGAUACCCUUGUAGUC